RNAcentral lists this ribosomal RNA (253 nucleotides) under uncultured bacterium. RNAcentral describes it as "partial 16S ribosomal RNA". It matches the Rfam family "Bacterial small subunit ribosomal RNA", at positions 524 to 776 of the family's 1533-position model. The record is from RNAcentral.
UACGUAGGGGCCUAGCGUUGUCCGGAUUUAUUGGGCGUAAAGGGCGUGUAGGCGGUUUGUUAAGUCAUGUGUGAAAUCCCUCGGCUCAACCGGGGAACGACGCAUGAAACUGGCAAGCUAGAGUACCAAAGAGGGGGGUGGAAUUCCCGGUGUAGCGGUGAAAUGCGUAGAUAUCUGGAGGAACACCGGUGGCGAAGGCGGCAUCCUGGACCGAUACUGACGCUGAGGAGCGAAAGCCAGGGGAGCAAACGGG